This 2860-nucleotide ribosomal RNA is filed under the name Klebsiella pneumoniae. Its description in RNAcentral is "bacterial LSU rRNA". It matches the Rfam family "Bacterial large subunit ribosomal RNA". The record is from RNAcentral. Lineage: Bacteria; Pseudomonadati; Pseudomonadota; Gammaproteobacteria; Enterobacterales; Enterobacteriaceae.
UUAAGCGACUAAGCGUACACGGUGGAUGCCCUGGCAGUCAGAGGCGAUGAAGGACGUGCUAAUCUGCGAAAAGCGUCGGUAAGGUGAUAUGAACCGUUAUANCACUAUCGUUAACUGAAUACAUAGGUUAACGAGGCGAACCGGGGGAACUGAAACAUCUAAGUACCCCGAGGAAAAGAAAUCAACCGAGAUUCCCCCAGUAGCGGCGAGCGAACGGGGAGCAGCCCAGAGUCUGAAUCAGCUUGUGUGUUAGUGGAACGGUCUGGAAAGUCCGACGGUACAGGGUGAUAGUCCCGUACACCAAAAUGCACAGGCUGUGAACUCGAAGAGUAGGGCGGGACACGUGGUAUCCUGUCUGAAUAUGGGGGGACCAUCCUCCAAGGCUAAAUACUCCUGACUGACCGAUAGUGAACCAGUACCGUGAGGGAAAGGCGAAAAGAACCCCGGCGAGGGGAGUGAAAAAGAACCUGAAACCGUGUACGUACAAGCAGUGGGAGCACCUUCGGGUGUGACUGCGUACCUUUUGUAUAAUGGGUCAGCGACUUAUAUUCUGUAGCAAGGUUAACCGUAUAGGGGAGCCGCAGGGAAACCGAGUCUUAACUGGGCGUUAAGUUGCAGGGUAUAGACCCGAAACCCGGUGAUCUAGCCAUGGGCAGGUUGAAGGUUGGGUAACACUAACUGGAGGACCGAACCGACUAAUGUUGAAAAAUUAGCGGAUGACUUGUGGCUGGGGGUGAAAGGCCAAUCAAACCGGGAGAUAGCUGGUUCUCCCCGAAAGCUAUUUAGGUAGCGCCUCGUGAAUUCAUCUUCGGGGGUAGAGCACUGUUUCGGCUAGGGGGUCAUCCCGACUUACCAACCCGAUGCAAACUACGAAUACCGAAGAAUGUUAUCACGGGAGACACACGGCGGGUGCUAACGUCCGUCGUGAAGAGGGAAACAACCCAGACCGCCAGCUAAGGUCCCAAAGUCAUGGUUAAGUGGGAAACGAUGUGGGAAGGCACAGACAGCCAGGAUGUUGGCUUAGAAGCAGCCAUCAUUUAAAGAAAGCGUAAUAGCUCACUGGUCGAGUCGGCCUGCGCGGAAGAUGUAACGGGGCUAAACCAUGCACCGAAGCUGCGGCAGCGACACUAUGUGUUGUUGGGUAGGGGAGCGUUCUGUAAGCCUGCGAAGGUGNNNNNNNNNNNNUGCUGGAGGUAUCAGAAGUGCGAAUGCUGACAUAAGUAACGAUAAAGCGGGUGAAAAGCCCGCUCGCCGGAAGACCAAGGGUUCCUGUCCAACGUUAAUCGGGGCAGGGUGAGUCGACCCCUAAGGCGAGGCCGAAAGGCGUAGUCGAUGGGAAACAGGUUAAUAUUCCUGUACUUGGUGUUACUGCGAAGGGGGGACGGAGAAGGCUAUGUUAGCCGGGCGACGGUUGUCCCGGUUUAAGCAUGUAGGCUGGUUGUCCAGGCAAAUCCGGAUAAUCAAGGCUGAGGUGUGAUGACGAGGCACUACGGUGCUGAAGUAACAAAUGCCCUGCUUCCAGGAAAAGCCUCUAAGCAUCAGGUAACAUCAAAUCGUACCCCAAACCGACACAGGUGGUCAGGUAGAGAAUACCAAGGCGCUUGAGAGAACUCGGGUGAAGGAACUAGGCAAAAUGGUGCCGUAACUUCGGGAGAAGGCACGCUGGUGUGUAGGUGAAGCCCCUGCGGGUGGAGCUGAGACCAGUCGAAGAUACCAGCUGGCUGCAACUGUUUAUUAAAAACACAGCACUGUGCAAACACGAAAGUGGACGUAUACGGUGUGACGCCUGCCCGGUGCCGGAAGGUUAAUUGAUGGGGUUAUCCGUAAGGAGAAGCUCUUGAUCGAAGCCCCGGUAAACGGCGGCCGUAACUAUAACGGUCCUAAGGUAGCGAAAUUCCUUGUCGGGUAAGUUCCGACCUGCACGAAUGGCGUAAUGAUGGCCAGGCUGUCUCCACCCGAGACUCAGUGAAAUUGAACUCGCUGUGAAGAUGCAGUGUACCCGCGGCAAGACGGAAAGACCCCGUGAACCUUUACUAUAGCUUGACACUGAACAUUGAGCCUUGAUGUGUAGGAUAGGUGGGAGGCUUUGAAGCGUGGACGCCAGUCUGCGUGGAGCCAACCUUGAAAUACCACCCUUUAAUGUUUGAUGUUCUAACGUUGGCCCCUUACCGGGGUUGCGGACAGUGUCUGGUGGGUAGUUUGACUGGGGCGGUCUCCUCCCAAAGCGUAACGGAGGAGCACGAAGGUUAGCUAAUCCUGGUCGGACAUCAGGAGGUUAGUGCAAUGGCAUAAGCUAGCUUGACUGCGAGCGUGACGGCGCGAGCAGGUGCGAAAGCAGGUCAUAGUGAUCCGGUGGUUCUGAAUGGAAGGGCCAUCGCUCAACGGAUAAAAGGUACUCCGGGGAUAACAGGCUGAUACCGCCCAAGAGUUCAUAUCGACGGCGGUGUUUGGCACCUCGAUGUCGGCUCAUCACAUCCUGGGGCUGAAGUAGGUCCCAAGGGUAUGGCUGUUCGCCAUUUAAAGUGGUACGCGAGCUGGGUUUAGAACGUCGUGAGACAGUUCGGUCCCUAUCUGCCGUGGGCGCUGGAGAAUUGAGGGGGGCUGCUCCUAGUACGAGAGGACCGGAGUGGACGCAUCACUGGUGUUCGGGUUGUCAUGCCAAUGGCACUGCCCGGUAGCUAAAUGCGGAAGAGAUAAGUGCUGAAAGCAUCUAAGCACGAAACUUGCCCCGAGAUGAGUUCUCCCUGAGACUUUAAGUCUCCUGAAGGAACGUUAAAGACGAUGACGUUGAUAGGCCGGGUGUGUAAGCGCAGCGAUGCGUUGAGCUAACCGGUACUAAUGAACCGUGAGGCUUAACCUU